Molecule: ribosomal RNA, 1343 nt
Filed under: uncultured bacterium
Lineage: Bacteria
Description: 16S ribosomal RNA
Rfam family: Bacterial small subunit ribosomal RNA
Source: RNAcentral
GACGAACGCUGUCGGCGUGCUUAACACAUGCAAGUCGAACGGAAAGGCCCUGCUUUUGUGGGGUGCUCGAGUGGCGAACGGGUGAGUAACACGUGAGUAACCUGCCCUUGACUUUGGGAUAACUUCAGGAAACUGGGGCUAAUACCGGAUAGGAGCUCCUGCUGCAUGGUGGGGGUUGGAAAGUUUCGGCGGUUGGGGAUGGACUCGCGGCUUAUCAGCUUGUUGGUGGGGUAGUGGCCUACCAAGGCUUUGACGGGUAGCCGGCCUGAGAGGGUGACCGGCCACAUUGGGACUGAGAUACGGCCCAGACUCCUACGGGAGGCAGCAGUGGGGAAUAUUGCACAAUGGGCGGAAGCCUGAUGCAGCAACGCCGCGUGCGGGAUGACGGCCUUCGGGUUGUAAACCGCUUUCGCCUGUGACGAAGCGUGAGUGACGGUAAUGGGUAAAGAAGCACCGGCUAACUACGUGCCAGCAGCCGCGGUGAUACGUAGGGUGCGAGCGUUGUCCGGAUUUAUUGGGCGUAAAGGGCUCGUAGGUGGUUGAUCGCGUCGGAAGUGUAAUCUUGGGGCUUAACCCUGAGCGUGCUUUCGAUACGGGUUGACUUGAGGAAGGUAGGGGAGAAUGGAAUUCCUGGUGGAGCGGUGGAAUGCGCAGAUAUCAGGAGGAACACCAGUGGCGAAGGCGGUUCUCUGGGCCUUUCCUGACGCUGAGGAGCGAAAGCGUGGGGAGCGAACAGGCUUAGAUACCCUGGUAGUCCACGCUGUAAACGGUGGGUACUAGGUGUGGGGUCCAUUCCACGGGUUCCGUGCCGUAGCUAACGCUUUAAGUACCCCGCCUGGGGAGUACGGCCGCAAGGCUAAAACUCAAAGGAAUUGACGGGGCCCCGCACAAGCGGCGGAGCAUGCGGAUUAAUUCGAUGCAACGCGUAGAACCUUACCCGGGUUUGACAUGGAUCGGGAGUGCUCAGAGAUGGGUGUGCCUCUUUUGGGGUCGGUUCACAGGUGGUGCAUGGCUGUCGUCAGCUCGUGUCGUGAGAUGUUGGGUUAAGUCCCGCAACGAGCGCAACCCUUGUUCACUGUUGCCAGCACGUUAUGGUGGGGACUCAGUGGAGACCGCCGGGGUCAACUCGGAGGAAGGUGGGGAUGACGUCAAGUCAUCAUGCCCCUUAUGUCCAGGGCUUCACGCAUGCUACAAUGGCUGGUACAGAGAGUGGCGAGCCUGUGAGGGUGAGCGAAUCUCGGAAAGCCGGUCUCAGUUCGGAUUGGGGUCUGCAACUCGACCUCAUGAAGUCGGAGUCGCUAGUAAUCGCAGAUCAGCAACGCUGUGGUGAAUACGUUCCCGGG